GAUGAACGCUGGCGGCGUGCCUAAUACAUGCAAGUCGAGCGAACAGACGAGGAGCUUGCUCCUCUGACGUUAGCGGCGGACGGGUGAGUAACACGUGGAUAACCUACCUAUAAGACUGGGAUAACUUCGGGAAACCGGAGCUAAUACCGGAUAAUAUAUUGAACCGCAUGGUUCAAUAGUGAAAGACGGUUUUGCUGUCACUUAUAGAUGGAUCCGCGCCGCAUUAGCUAGUUGGUAAGGUAACGGCUUACCAAGGCAACGAUGCGUAGCCGACCUGAGAGUGUGGGAGGCAACACUGGAGCUGACACACGGUGCAGACUCCUACGGGAGGCAGCAGUAGGGAAUGGUGCGCACUGGGCGAAAGCCUAACGGAGCAGAGCUGCGUGAGUGAUAAAGGUCUACGUAGCGUAAAACUCUGUUAGUAGUCAAGAACACAUGUGAAAGUAACUGUGCGCAGCGGGACGGGACCUAAUCAAAAAGCAACGGCUAGCUACGUC
RNAcentral lists this ribosomal RNA (497 nucleotides) under uncultured bacterium. RNAcentral's name for it is "partial 16S ribosomal RNA". It matches the Rfam family "Bacterial small subunit ribosomal RNA", at positions 28 to 507 of the family's 1533-position model. The record is from RNAcentral.